This 445-nucleotide ribosomal RNA is filed under the name uncultured bacterium. Its description in RNAcentral is "bacterial SSU rRNA". It matches the Rfam family "Bacterial small subunit ribosomal RNA", at positions 354 to 796 of the family's 1533-position model. The record is from RNAcentral.
GUGAGGAAUAUUGGUCAAUGGACGCAAGUCUGAACCAGCCAUGCCGCGUGCAGGAUGACGGCUCUAUGAGUUGUAAACUGCUUUUGUACGAGGGUAAACGCAGAUACGUGUAUCUGUCUGAAAGUAUCGUACGAAUAAGGAUCGGCUAACUCCGUGCCAGCAGCCGCGGUAAUACGGAGGAUUCAAGCGUUAUCCGGAUUUAUUGGGUUUAAAGGGUGCGUAGGCGGUUUAGUAAGUCAGCGGUGAAAUUUUGGUGCUUAACACCAAACGUGCCGUUGAUACUGCUGGGCUAGAGAGUAGUUGCGGUAGGCGGAAUGUAUGGUGUAGCGGUGAAAUGCUUAGAGAUCAUACAGAACACCGAUUGCGAAGGCAGCUUACCAAACUAUAUCUGACGUUGAGGCACGAAAGCGUGGGGAGCAAACAGGAUUAGAAACCCUAGUAGUCC